This 1534-nucleotide ribosomal RNA is filed under the name uncultured bacterium. Its description in RNAcentral is "bacterial SSU rRNA". It matches the Rfam family "Bacterial small subunit ribosomal RNA". The record is from RNAcentral.
GAGUUUGAUCCUGGCUCAGGACGAACGCUGGCGGCGUGCUUAACACAUGCAAGUCGUGCGAGAACGUCCACUUCGGUGGGCAAGUAAAGCGGCGGACGGGUGAGUACCACGUGAGCAACCUUCCCGGUUGCGGGGGACAACCCAGGGAAACCUGGGCUAAUACCGCAUGCAUGCGCCAUCCCGCGGGGGAUGUCGUGAAAGCCGGCCUCUCGGAGAAGCCGGCGCGACCGGAUGGGCUCGCGUCCUAUCAGCUGGUUGGUGAGGUAACGGCUCACCAAGGCGAAGACGGGUAGCUGGCGUGAGAGCGCGACCAGCCACACUGGGACUGAGACACGGCCCAGACUCCUACGGGAGGCAGCAGUGGGGAAUCUUGCGCAAUGGGCGAAAGCCUGACGCAGCGACGCCGCGUGAGGGAGGAAGGCCUUCGGGUUGUAAACCUCUGUCCGGUGGGACGAACCGUGGGUCGGUGACAGCCGGCCCGCCUGACGGUACCGCCGAUAGGAAGCUCCGGCUAACUCCGUGCCAGCAGCCGCGGUAACACGGGGGGAGCGAGCGUUGUCCGGAAUCACUGGGCGUGCAGGGCGCGUAGGCGGCCGGGUAAGUCGCGUGUGAAAGGCCACGGCUCAACCGUGGACAGCCACGCGAUACUGUCCGGCUAGAGACAGGCAGGGGCGAGCGGAACUCCCGGUGUAGCGGUGGAAUGCGUAGAUAUCGGGAAGAACACCCGUGGCGAAGGCGGCUCGCUGGGCCUGUUCUGACGCUGAAGCGCGAAAGCGUGGGGAGCGAACAGGAUUAGAUACCCUGGUAGUCCACGCCGUAAACGCUGGGCACUAGAUGUUGGAGGGCUAGGACCCUUCAGUGUCGCAGCUAACGCAUUAAGUGCCCCGCCUGGGGAGUACGGCCGCAAGGCUGAAACUCAAAGGAAUUGACGGGGGCCUGCACAAGCGGUGGAGCAUGUGGUUUAAUUCGAAGCAACGCGAAGAACCUUACCUGGGCUUGACAUGUCGGUGGUAGGUGCCUGGAAACCGGCGCCGACCCUUCGGGGAGCCGUCACAGGUGCUGCAUGGCAGUCGUCAGCUCGUGUCGUGAGAUGUUGGGUUAAGUCCCGUAACGAGCGCAACCCUCGCCCCUAGUUGCCAGCGGGUCAUGCCGGGGACUCUAGGGGAACUGCCGGUGACAAACCGGAGGAAGGUGGGGAUGACGUCAAGUCAUCAUGGCCCUUAUGUCCAGGGCGACACACGUGCUACAAUGGCCGGUACAAAGGACAGCGAACCCGCGAGGGCGAGCGAAUCCCAAAAAGCCGGUCCAAGUUCGGAUUGCAGUCUGCAACCCGACUGCAUGAAGCCGGAAUCGCUAGUAUCGUGGGUCAGCCAUACUACGGUGAAUACGUUCCCGGGCCUUGUACACACCGCCCGUCAAGCGAUGGAAGUCGGGGUUACCCGAAGCCGGUGGCCCAACCCUUCGGGGAGGGAGCCGUCGAAGGUUAGCCCGGUGACUGGCGCUAAGUCGUAACAAGGUAGCCGUACGGCUACCU